Molecule: ribosomal RNA, 777 nt
Filed under: uncultured Neocallimastigales
Lineage: Eukaryota; Fungi; Neocallimastigomycota; Neocallimastigomycetes; Neocallimastigales
Description: partial large subunit ribosomal RNA
Rfam family: Eukaryotic large subunit ribosomal RNA
Source: RNAcentral
AUAUCAGUCAUGCAUAGCAUAUCAAUAAGCGGAGGAAAAGAAACUAACAAGGAUUCCCUUAGUAACGGCGAGUGAAGCGGGGAAGAGCUCAAAUUUGAAAUCUUCAAGGUUCUACCUUGACGAAUUGUAGUUUAUAGAAGUGUUUUCUGUUAGUGGAGUGGCAAAAGUUCUUUGGAAUAGGACAUCAUAGAGGGUGAGAAUCCCGUAUUUGGUCAUUCCUCCUAGCGUUGUGAUACACUUUCAACGAGUCGGAUUGUUUGGGAAUGCAGUCCAAAAUGGGUGGUAAAUUUCAUCUAAAGCUAAAUAUUGGCGAGAGACCGAUAGCGAACAAGUACCGUGAGGGAAAGAUGAAAAGAACUUUGAAAAGAGAGUUAAACAGUACGUGAAAUUGUCAAAAGGGAAGCGUUUGACACCAGUGUUGUUUUUCCGAAAAUCAAUUACGAAUGUUUUGUUUUUAAGAAGUUAUGACUUCAUCGGCUUGCUUCUCUCUUUACUGAAACUUUCUUAAUGCACCUUUCGGUUAACAAGGUCAACAUCAAUUUCUUUUGUUGUAAAAGGGUAUGAGGAAGGUGGCUUUCUUUUCGGAGAAAGUGUUUAUAGCCUUGUACCUCUGCAAUCGGAGAGAUUGAGGUCUGCAGCGUAGAUCCUUCGGGGUUAGAUACGUUUGUGCUAAGUUAUAGCUUUUCAUAGACAACUUGUUGACUAUGUUUAGUCUUGUAGCUUACUCGCUGACGCUAUUUUACCUACGCUUAGGAUGUUGAUCUCUCACAGUCGAGC